CUCAAGUGUCGGGUCCUGGGAAGAUACAAACUAGAUAAUUUGGGAACAUAUCUGUGACGGAGUUUCCAGGCGGCUCUCUGGAUAACAGCGGACAUUGUGACUGUGGCGGUUGGGGCACUGUGCUCGCUGCAGCUGCCGUUAUGAGGUUCGCGAUCCUGCAGCUGCCGUUAUGAGGUUCGCGAUCCUGCAGCUGCCGUUAUGAGGUUCGCGAUCCUGCAGCUGCCGUUAUGAGGUUCGCGAUCCUGCAGCUGCCGUUAUGAGGUUCGCGAUCCUGCAGCUGCCGUUACGAGGUUCGCGAUUUGAGAAGUGGCUUUCAGCUAGAGUUUAACAGCCGAACUGAUGUUUUGGAGGAACUUCCCGAGUGCAUUUGCUGCAUUCCGA
RNAcentral lists this long non-coding RNA (381 nucleotides) under Jatropha curcas. Its description in RNAcentral is "long non-coding RNA (JCUR_LNC003240)". Lineage: Eukaryota; Viridiplantae; Streptophyta; Magnoliopsida; Malpighiales; Euphorbiaceae. The record is from RNAcentral.